CAAGUGAGAAUGCCGGUAUGAGUAACGAAAAGACAGGUGAGAAUCCUGUCCGCCGAAAGCCUAAGGGUUCCUGGGGUAGGUUCGUCCGCCCAGGGUAAGUCGGGACCUAAGGCGAGGCCGAAAGGCGUAGUCGAUGGACAACAGGUUGAAAUUCCUGUACCACCGUAAUCCGUUAUGAGCGAUGGGGGGACGCAGGAGGGAAGCGACGCGAGCCGAUGGAUGUGCUCGUCCAAGCCCAAAGAGGGGUGUGCAGGCAAAUCCGCACACUGUAACCUUGAAGGGUGAUGGGGAGGGAAAAUCACAGUACCGAAGGUCGUGUACCCACGCUGCCAAGAAAAGCCUCUAGCCAGGAGAAGGUGCCCGUACCGUAAACCGACACAGGUGGGCGAGAUGAGAAUUCUAAGGCGCGCGGAAGAACUCUCGUUAAGGAACUCGGCAAAAUGACCCCGUAACUUCGGGAGAAGGGGUGCCCCGGUAGUGUGAAUAGCACGAGGGGGCCGCAGUGAAGAGGCCCAAGCGACUGUUUAGCAAAAACACAGGUCUGUGCGAAGCCGUAAGGCGAAGUAUACGGGCUGACGCCUGCCCGGUGCUGGAAGGUUAAGGGGAGUGGUUAGGGGUAACCCGAAGCUGUGAACCGAAGCCCCAGUAAACGGCGGCCGUAACUAUAACGGUCCUAAGGUAGCGAAAUUCCUUGUCAGGUAAAUUCUGACCCGCACGAAUGGCGUAACGACUUGGGCGCUGUCUCAACGAGAGAUCCGGUGAAAUUUUAGUACCUGUGAAGAUGCAGGUUACCCGCGACGUGACGGAAAGACCCCAUGGAGCUUUACUGUAGCUUGAUAUUGAACUUUGGUACGGUCUGUACAGGAUAGGUGGGAGCCUAUGAAGCGGGGGCGCAAGCCUCUGUGGAGGCGCCGUUGGGAUACCACCCUGAUCGUAUCGGAGUUCUAACCUGCUGCCCUGAAUCGGGCAGAGGGACCGUGUCAGGCGGACAGUUUGACUGGGGCGGUCGCCUCCUAAAAAGUAACGGAGGCGCUCUAAGGUUCCCUCAGCGCGGUUGGAAAUCGCGCGAAGAGUGCAAAGGCAUAAGGGAGCUUGACUGCGAGACCUACAAGUCGAGCAGGGAGGAAACUCGGACUUAGUGAUCCGGUGGUACCGAAUGGAAGGGCCAUCGCUCAACGGAUAAAAGCUACCCUGGGGAUAACAGGCUUAUCUCCCCCAAGAGUCCACAUCGACGGGGAGGUUUGGCACCUCGAUGUCGGCUCAUCGCAUCCUGGGGCUGAAGUAGGUCCCAAGGGUUGGGCUGUUCGCCCAUUAAAGCGGUACGCGAGCUGGGUUCAGAACGUCGUGAGACAGUUCGGUCCCUAUCUGUCGCGGGCGUAGGAAAUUUGAGAGGGGCUGUCCUUAGUACGAGAGGACCGGGAUGGACGCACCGCUGGUGUACCAGUUGUUCCGCCAGGAGCACCGCUGGGUAGCCAAGUGCGGAAGGGAUAAGCGCUGAAAGCAUCUAAGCGCGAAGCCUGCCUCAAGAUGAGAUUUCCCAAUUCGUAAGACCCCUGGAAGAACACCAGGUUGAUAGGCUCGGGGUGGAAGCGCAGCAAUGUGUGGAGCUGACGAGUACUAAUCGGUCGAGGGCUUAUCCUAACGAAUGACACGACAAAGCAAGACACUUCACCUUCUUCUUCGCUCCACUUGGUUCGCAUCCAGUUUUCAAGGCGUAAGCC
Molecule: ribosomal RNA, 1721 nt
Filed under: Cohnella sp. SGD-V74
Lineage: Bacteria; Bacillati; Bacillota; Bacilli; Caryophanales; Paenibacillaceae
Description: bacterial LSU rRNA
Rfam family: Bacterial large subunit ribosomal RNA
Source: RNAcentral